This 400-nucleotide ribosomal RNA is filed under the name uncultured bacterium. RNAcentral describes it as "bacterial SSU rRNA". It matches the Rfam family "Bacterial small subunit ribosomal RNA", at positions 355 to 772 of the family's 1533-position model. The record is from RNAcentral.
UGGGGAAUAUUGGACAAUGGGCGCAAGCCUGAUCCAGCCAUGCCGCGUGAGUGACGAAGGCCUUAGGGUUGUAAAGCUCUUUUGGCGGGGACGAUAAUGACGGUACCCGCAGAAUAAGCUCCGGCUAACUUCGUGCCAGCAGCCGCGGUAAUACGAAGGGAGCUAGCGUUGUUCGGAAUCACUGGGCGUAAAGCGCACGUAGGCGGAUCGUUAAGUCGGGGGUGAAAUCCCGAGGCUCAACCUCGGAACUGCCUUCGAUACUGGCGAUCUUGAGUUCGGGAGAGGUGGGUGGAAUUCCUAGUGUAGAGGUGAAAUUCGUAGAUAUUAGGAAGAACACCGGUGGCGAAGGCGGCCCACUGGCCCGAUACUGACGCUGAGGUGCGAAAGCGUGGGGAGCAAA